Molecule: transfer RNA, 92 nt
Filed under: Chitinophaga lutea
Lineage: Bacteria; Pseudomonadati; Bacteroidota; Chitinophagia; Chitinophagales; Chitinophagaceae
Description: Chitinophaga sp. ZY74 tRNA-Ser
Rfam family: tRNA
About the family: Transfer RNA (tRNA) molecules are approximately 80 nucleotides in length. Their secondary structure includes four short double-helical elements and three loops (D, anti-codon, and T loops).
Source: RNAcentral
GGUGAGGUGCCUGAGUGGCCGAAAGGAGCAGUUUGCUAAACUGUCGUACGGGUAACACUGUACCGCGGGUUCGAAUCCCGCCCUCACCGCAA